GGUCCAUGAUGAGCUGUAAAAGGUCUGAGCCUGUAAACCCCGCCCCCCACAGCGCCUCGCACUCCCAUGAGCCCUUGCUCUGCUCCCAGCAUGCUCCAGUGCUGCAACGCUGGCUCAGAGCGCGCUCACAGCAACAGGACGUGACAUCACAGUGGGCGGGGCCUGUACCCAGCUCCUACAGCGCCGCGGUGAUGAGGUCACGUCCCACAGACCAAUCACAGCGGAGACGGAGGCCGAGGGGCGGGGCAGGCGGUGAUCCCAAGUUUUCAAGCUGAGACC
RNAcentral lists this small nucleolar RNA (279 nucleotides) under Neogobius melanostomus (round goby). RNAcentral describes it as "Small Cajal body specific RNA 6 (ENSNMLG00000001460.1)". It matches the Rfam family "Small Cajal body specific RNA 6". From Rfam's summary of the family: U88 is small Cajal body specific RNA (scaRNA). scaRNAs are a novel class of small nuclear RNAs which localise to the Cajal bodies. U88 is found associated with both fibrillarin and Gar1p and co-localises with coilin in Cajal bodies. U88 scaRNA is composed of both an H/ACA box and a C/D box conserved domains domains and is predicted to guide 2'-O-methylation of residue U41 of the U5 snRNA. The record is from Rfam by way of RNAcentral. Lineage: Eukaryota; Metazoa; Chordata; Actinopteri; Gobiiformes; Gobiidae.